GCCGUGAAGGGUGGUGGCCUCGUGCUGGCUCCUGGCUUCACCAUUUACAGCCUGAGAAUCUGGGUGAAGUCCAGGGGGCCUCGGGGAGCCUCCUGCCCCUCAUCUGAUGGACAGGCUGGUGUGGGACCAUCCCUGGAGCAGCUGACAGGAUGCAACCAGAGACAAGAAAGCAUCUAUAUGCCACUGGUGUUCAGCAAAGGGCUUCCCUUCCCAGCCAACAAGCAGCAUCCUUGCGUCUAGGUGUCUGUCAGCAUUCCUGACACUGGAGUGGAAGCUGCACGAGGGCAGAGGUUCUGCCGAGUGAGCGCGGCUCACAGCUGGGCCCUGGAGCCGAGGGGAGCACCUGCACUCAGGAAAUAUUUGGUGAAGGAAGGAAAAGCCUUGGUCCUGUCACUCCCCUGCUCGGAAUCCUCCAACGGCUUCCCGCGGCAGUUAAAAUAUACAGAAUCUAGAUUUCUUCCUCCGCCCCAUAAGUAGGGUGACUAUGUCCUUUAUUGAACAAGGAGAGACGCUUUUUGUGAGUCAAAAAGGAUGCUAUCAACAAUUAUGCUGGAACAGUGGGAGUGAACCAGACCUGUCCCAAGCAAACGGGGGUGCUCGCCACCCCACUCAGAGGUCCCCACGGCACUGGUCUCUGCCCCUCGCCCACAUCCAGCCACACUGACUUUCCAUGGGAAUGUUGCUGUCUCUCUACCCGGAGAAGGCCUUUUCCUGCCUGGAUCUUUCUCAUCACCUUGGUCUCCACUACACUGUGCCCUCAGGGGCCUUCCCCGAUGACCAACCCUCGCUCAGGCCAGGAGCUCCUUUCACCUCCUGGCACUCAUCCCUGUGCUCAGCCCCCGCCCUGAGGCAGCCGGGAGUGAUCAUGAGGCUUGGGGACACAGCAGCUGUCAGCCCCCGCAUGGAUGCUGUGUUCCCAGCACACAUCUCCAAAGCGAAAGUGAAGGGAGCCUACUUCAGCUUGGAGGCGGGAAGUGAAAGGCAGAGGAGAGGAAGGAAGCAGCGGGCAGCAUGGACAGGCCAGGUCAGGGUGCUUCCCGGAACUGUGCGGCGCCGGGCCACCCCAGAAAUCACAUGCCCUCUGACCUCUGCCACUCCGACACUUAAGAAGUGUUUGGAACCAGAAUUUGCGUGCGGAUCAUAAAGCAGAUCCCUCAGGGAGGAGCUCCCAGCAGACAAGUACCCGGACUGCACAGCCAGACAGAAGACACCGGACGUGUUCACGAUUUUUCUAAUGACCUCUGUCCUGAUCUGGGGCUCUAUAAAGUUGUUGCAGCCCCCGUGUUUGUCAUUUGGCUCUGGCUCGAGGUGUAUGCACGCAGGAAUUUGUUUACAGAACGUUGACGACGGCCCGGCCUUCAUGUGGGCACCGACACCACCCUUUUGGCUGCUCCGAGGGACUGGCCCCCCUCCAGGAUUCCCAGACUCAUUUGCUGCCCCGGAUUCUUUAAAACAAAGAAACCUGAGUAUUGGUGUUCACACAAGGUCCUGGCAGAAAACCAAACUCAGCCCCGAUGUUUCCAGUAAAGGGACCAUUUAUGGGGGUGUGACUAGGGUUGAGGGGAUCAAGAAGGGAUGUUGAGGCCCUGAGACUAGUCACGGCAGCAUCGUCACCACCAUGGGGCUCCAGAGGUGAGGCAAGGCAUUGGUGCUGCCGGAGCCCCGCGAGAACUGGACCCAGGGAGGGCAGAGGACAGGCCACCUGACAGCGGCUGUAGUCUUGAGGGCGGGCGGAUGGGGCACUAAGGCAGGCAGAGGGCAGAGAAGUAACAGCCUCUCCUCCUCUCAUCUCCUGGUGCCUACCAUCGGCCAAACCCCACAGGAAGCCAGAGGUGCAGGAGGUCCCCCGUGAAGCCCACAGAGGCCAGCCUCCCGCGGCGAUAGUAGCUUGGUGGCAAUCCUUCUCAUCCUGUACAGCUCUCUUGAAUAGGUCCACCUCUGUGCACGGAGCCUCUUCAUUGGCCCAGCCGGCGUCUGUUGCUCACUGUGGUCCCUCCUCCACCCUCCACACCACAGCAGAGUGACCUGAGGAGCAAGCCUGGCCCGGAGGCUCCCCACGACUCCUGCUGCUCUUGGGGUAUCGAUCAAAGUCUGAACCCCUGCUUUUGGGAGGCUGACUGUCUGGCCCAGCUGACCUCCGGCCUCACCUCUGGUCCUGCCCUCCUGCCUGCUCCAUGUGGUGUGGUCGCUGGACAUUUUUUGGAACCUGGAAUGUCAUGUUCCCUUCCACUUCCGAGUUUUGUGUAUGU
Long non-coding RNA from Equus asinus (donkey), 2249 nucleotides. The record is from Ensembl. NCBI's taxonomy places the organism in Eukaryota, Metazoa, Chordata, Mammalia, Perissodactyla, Equidae.